Molecule: small RNA, 16 nt
Filed under: Arabidopsis thaliana (thale cress)
Lineage: Eukaryota; Viridiplantae; Streptophyta; Magnoliopsida; Brassicales; Brassicaceae
Description: ATSL131920
Source: RNAcentral
AUAUAUUAAUCACAAU